This 414-nucleotide ribosomal RNA is filed under the name uncultured microorganism. RNAcentral's name for it is "bacterial SSU rRNA". It matches the Rfam family "Archaeal small subunit ribosomal RNA", at positions 459 to 872 of the family's 1478-position model. The record is from RNAcentral.
CAGCAGCCGCGGUAAUACCGGCGGCCCGAGUGGCGGUCACUAUUAUUGGGCUUAAAGCGUCCGUAGCCGGGUUGGGAAGUCCUCCGGGAAAUCUGGCCGCUUAACGGUCCGAAUGCCGGAGGAUACUCCCAGCCUAGGGAGCGGGGGAGGCCGAGGGGAUUCCCGGAGGAGGGGUGAAAUCCUAUAAUCCCGGGAGGACCACCUGUGGCGAAGGCGCUCGGCUGGAACGCGUCCGACGGUGAGGGACGAAGGCCAGGGGAGCAAACCGGAUUAGAUACCCGGGUAGUCCUGGCUGUAAACGAUGCGGACUUUGUGUCGGACAAGCUAUGAGCUUGUCCGGUGCCGGAGGGAAACCGUUAAGUCCGCCGCCUGGGGAGUACGGCCGCAAGGCUGAAACUUAAAGGAAUUGGCGGG